RNAcentral lists this ribosomal RNA (392 nucleotides) under uncultured bacterium. Its description in RNAcentral is "bacterial SSU rRNA". It matches the Rfam family "Bacterial small subunit ribosomal RNA", at positions 28 to 424 of the family's 1533-position model. The record is from RNAcentral.
GACGAACGCUGGCGGCGUGCUUAACACAUGCAAGUCGAGCGGUAAGGCCCUUUCGGGGGUACACGAGCGGCGAACGGGUGAGUAACACGUGGGUGACCUGCCCUCAGCUCUGGGAUAAGCCUGGGAAACCGGGUCUAAUACCGGAUAUGACUCCAUGACGCAUGUUGUGGGGUGGAAAGCCUUGUGCGGCUGAGGAUGGGCCCGCGGCCUAUCAGCUUGUUGGUGGGGUGAUGGCCUAGCAAGGCGACGACGGGUAGCCGGCCUGAGAGGGCGACCGGCCACACUGGGACUGAGACACGGCCCAGACUCCUACGGGAGGCAGCAGUGGGGAAUCUUGCGCAAUGGGCGAAAGCCUGACGCAGCGACGCCGCGUGAGGGAUGACGGCCUGGUU